This 517-nucleotide long non-coding RNA is filed under the name Erythranthe guttata (spotted monkey flower). RNAcentral describes it as "long non-coding RNA (EGUT_LNC003344)". The record is from RNAcentral. Lineage: Eukaryota; Viridiplantae; Streptophyta; Magnoliopsida; Lamiales; Phrymaceae.
UUUGUUUAGGACUACACUUUGAUUAUUUUUUUUGUUGGACUAUCUUGCUGAAUUUGGUUUUAAUUUAUUGUUUCUAUGUUUUUCAAAUGGUAUCAAAUUCAGGGGGAGUUCAAGCAAUAUCUCAGGGGGAGUCUUUGACUAAGAUUUAGUUUUGAUCAGAAAGUUAAAAAGGGGGAGUUUGAAACACGUGAAUUAAAUUCACAAUGUGUUUUUAACUUUUCUUAAUUUCUAAACUAAAUCUUAGUUAGUGGGCUUAGUAGGGCUAAGUAGUGCUUAGUGGAUUUAAUUAUGGGAUUUAUCUUAACUUCCUAACUAACCCACUAACCCAUUAUCUUGAGUGCUCUUGUGGUUGGUUUUCUUGCAGAUCAUGGGCUGAAGAGUGGAAGCUUGGCAAGUCUAUAAAUACCAAACUCAAGACUCAAGAUUAAUACAGAUUUCGAGAAAACAAAAUAGAGAGCUGAAGUUUUAAUCUCGAGAAUUUUAGUGUGUUUUCUAGGAUCUGUUGUACGUACUAUUU